Molecule: ribosomal RNA, 1100 nt
Filed under: Pseudomonas sp.
Lineage: Bacteria; Pseudomonadati; Pseudomonadota; Gammaproteobacteria; Pseudomonadales; Pseudomonadaceae
Description: bacterial SSU rRNA
Rfam family: Bacterial small subunit ribosomal RNA
Source: RNAcentral
CCUCUUGGAGAGCGGCGGACGGGUGAGUAAAGCCUAGGAAUCUGCCUGGUAGUGGGGGAUAACGCUCGGAAACGGACGCUAAUACCGCAUACGUCCUACGGGAGAAAGCAGGGGACCUUCGGGCCUUGCGCUAUCAGAUGAGCCUAGGUCGGAUUAGCUAGUUGGUGAGGUAAUGGCUCACCAAGGCGACGAUCCGUAACUGGUCUGAGAGGAUGAUCAGUCACACUGGAACUGAGACACGGUCCAGACUCCUACGGGAGGCAGCAGUGGGGAAUAUUGGACAAUGGGCGAAAGCCUGAUCCAGCCAUGCCGCGUGUGUGAAGAAGGUCUUCGGAUUGUAAAGCACUUUAAGUUGGGAGGAAGGGCAUUAACCUAAUACGUUAGUGUUUUGACGUUACCGACAGAAUAAGCACCGGCUAACUCUGUGCCAGCAGCCGCGGUAAUACAGAGGGUGCAAGCGUUAAUCGGAAUUACUGGGCGUAAAGCGCGCGUAGGUGGUUCGUUAAGUUGGAUGUGAAAUCCCCGGGCUCAACCUGGGAACUGCAUUCAAAACUGUCGAGCUAGAGUAUGGUAAGGGUGGGGGGGAAUUUCCUGGGGUACGGUGAAAUGCGUAGAUUUAGGAAGGAACACCAGUGGGCGAAGGCGACCACCUGGACUGAUACUGACACUGAGGUGCGAAAGCGUGGGGGAGCAAACAGGAUUAGAUACCCUGGGUAGUCCACGCCGUAAACGAUGUCAACUAGCCGUUGGGAGCCUUGAGCUCUUAGUGGCGCAGCUAACGCAUUAAGUUGACCGCCUGGGGGAGUACGGCCGCAAGGUUAAAACUCAAAUGAAUUGACGGGGGCCCGCACAAGCGGUGGAGCAUGGGGGUUUAAUUCGAAGCAACGCGAAGAACCUUACCAGGCCUUGACAUCCAAUGAACUUUCCAGAAAAUUGGAUUGGUGGCCUUCGGGAACAUUUGAGACAGGUGCUGCAAUGGCUGUCGUCAGCUCGUGUCGUGAGAAUGUUGGGGUUAAGUCCCGUAACGAGCGCAACCCUUGUCCUUAGUUACCAGCACGUCAUGGUGGGCCCUCUUAAGGAGACUGCCGGUGACAACCCGA